UGGGAGAGGAAGCGGUGUGGUUUCUGCAUCGAGAUACAAGUUAACGCUGGAAGUCCUGAAUUAAAGGGGGCGCUUUUUAAAAGUACCGACAAGGGUGUAACUGGCAAACAUUUUGUAGGAACAGCAGAAGCCCACAGGAGCAGGCAGCAGGGUGCAGUCCACAGGCAGAGAGGACGAGGUAUAGGGGCAACAGUAGCCAAGGCCUAGCCAAACGCACCCGUAUCUAACCCGCCUACAUGUUUUUUCUGGGCUGAACUGAACUCGUCUUUGGCUCGGAAAUAAAAAUGAAAUUAGGAAAGAAAAAAAUAACGGACAAGCAGUUUCUCAAAGAAGGAAAUAGAAGAGACCUCAAAAGAAGCUUGGAAAUUAUGACACCGCCCCCUAGCUGUUCACGCCUAUGGAGAACCUGUUUAUUGCUUAAUUCAUCCUGUGGUGGACAGGAGGGACAAAUGGGCCAGACAACAGACUCCCAGACAAGCCCUCGCACAACCACUUUCCUAAGCAUGAAGCCCUCCAGACGAUGAGGUUCGGACCUGCAUCAAAUAAUCUUAGAAACAAAGCCUCUGGUCUGUUGACCACAGAGACACGCCCCCCCAUCCCUCAGGCAAUCCCCCGCCACCUUGUUCCUGUCCACGGUCGUGCAGCUUUUGUUCCAGGAACUGAAGGCAUGACCCACCCUGACUCCAGGAGACCAUAAGCAGUUCCACCUUUGUUCCUCAGAAGGACUGCAAGCAACUCAGGAUGACAUCUGAGCCACUGUACUCCAGGGUGAGAGAUCGCUGCCCAGGACACAGCUACAGACCACCCCCAGGACAAGAACGCUGAAGUCAUUUUUUUUUAAUCCAAUUGACUUUUUCCAGAAUUUCAAAGCCCCUCACCACACCUUGUUUAUUCCGUGCUAUAAAAACCUUGGCCUGGAAAGAAAAGACAA
This is a long non-coding RNA of Phyllostomus hastatus (greater spear-nosed bat), 931 nucleotides long. RefSeq lists it as uncharacterized. The transcript has 5 exons. NCBI's taxonomy places the organism in Eukaryota, Metazoa, Chordata, Mammalia, Chiroptera, Phyllostomidae. The record is from RefSeq and is a predicted model, not a curated record.